RNAcentral lists this ribosomal RNA (470 nucleotides) under uncultured bacterium. Its description in RNAcentral is "partial 16S ribosomal RNA". It matches the Rfam family "Bacterial small subunit ribosomal RNA", at positions 28 to 507 of the family's 1533-position model. The record is from RNAcentral.
GGUGAACGCUGGCGGCGUGCCUAAGACAUGCAAGUCGAGCGGGGCAGGUUUAUACCUGUUCAGCGGCGGACGGGUGAGUAACGCGUGGGUGACCUACCCGGAAGAGGCGGACAACCUGGGGAAACCCAGGCUAAUCCGCCAUGUGGUCCUGUCCUGUGGGGCAGGACUAAAGGGUGGAUAGCCCGCUUCCGGAUGGGCCCGCGUCCCAUCAGCUAGUUGGUGGGGUAAAGGCCCACCAAGGCGACGACGGGUAGCCGGUCUGAGAGGAUGGCCGGCCACAGGGGCACUGAGACACGGGCCCCACUCCUACGGGAGGCAGGAGGUAGGAAUCUUCCGCAAUGGGCGCAAGCCUGACGGAGCGACGCCGCUUGGAGGAGGAAGCCCUUCGGGGUGUAAACUCCUGAACUGGGGACGAAAGCCCCGUGUAGGGGGAUGACGGUACCCAGGUAAUAGCGCCGGCCAACUCCGUG